CCUACGGGUGGCAGCAGUGAGGAAUAUUGGUCAAUGGACGAGAGUCUGAACCAGCCAAGUAGCGUGAAGGAUGACUGCCCUAUGGGUUGUAAACUUCUUUUAUAAAGGAAUAAAACGAGGCACGUGUGCCUUUUUGCAUGUACUUUAUGAAUAAGGAUCGGCUAACUCCGUGCCAGCAGCCGCGGUAAUACGGAGGAUCCGAGCGUUAUCCGGAUUUAUUGGGUUUAAAGGGAGCGUAGAUGGGUUGUUAAGUCAGUUGUGAAAGUUUGCGGCUUAACCGUAAAAUUGCAAUUGAUACGGGCAGUCUUGAGUACAGUUGAGGUAGGCGGAAUUCGGGGUGUAGCGGGGAAAGGCUUGGAUAUCACAAAAAACCCCAAUUGCGAAGGCAGCUUACAAAA
RNAcentral lists this ribosomal RNA (398 nucleotides) under uncultured bacterium. RNAcentral's name for it is "partial 16S ribosomal RNA". It matches the Rfam family "Bacterial small subunit ribosomal RNA", at positions 338 to 733 of the family's 1533-position model. The record is from RNAcentral.